Molecule: ribosomal RNA, 265 nt
Filed under: uncultured bacterium
Lineage: Bacteria
Description: partial 16S ribosomal RNA
Rfam family: Bacterial small subunit ribosomal RNA
Source: RNAcentral
AUGCCCCAUAGUAUUAUAGAAUGGCAUCAUUUUAUAAUUAAAGUCACAACGGUAAAAGAUGAGCAUGCGUCCCAUUAGUUAGUUGGUAAGGUAACGGCUUACCAAGACUAUGAUGGGUAGGGGUCCUGAGAGGGAGAUCCCCCACACUGGUACUGAGACACGGACCAGACUCCUACGGGAGGCAGCAGUGAGGAAUAUUGGACAAUGGGCGCAAGCCUGAUCCAGCCAUGCCGCGUGCAGGAAGACGCAUCUAUGGUGUGUAAAC